Molecule: unclassified non-coding RNA, 987 nt
Filed under: Heterostelium pallidum
Lineage: Eukaryota; Evosea; Eumycetozoa; Acytosteliales; Acytosteliaceae
Description: partial contains 18S rRNA, ITS1, 5.8S rRNA, ITS2 and 26S rRNA
Rfam family: 5.8S ribosomal RNA (bases 200-357)
Source: RNAcentral
GCGGAUGGAUCAUUUCAUAAAAAAAAGAACUCAAAAAAAGUUAUUUAUUUAACUUUUGCCUAAUUUUUUUAAUUUAGUAUUCGUAUUAAUUUAAAUUAAUUUGGGCAUCUCUCUCAAAAUUUAUUUCGUAUGUCAAAUUAAUUGUAAUUGUCUAAGAUGUUUCCACUCUGUGGAAAUAUUAAAGUCAAUGAUUUUUAGUAAGCAUAAAUGGUGGAUACCUCGGCUCCUAAAUCGAUGAAGACCGUAGCAAACUGCGAUAAGUCACUCGAAUUGCAGACUACUGUGAAAGUCGAAAUGUUGAACGCACAUGAUGACAUUGACUCCCCCGAGUUAAAUGUCACACUUGGUUGAGAGUCGCAUCUCAUUAUCAUUUCUUAAUUCUAUUAAGAAAGUAUUGGUAAAGAUUUCUUAGAUAUUACAUUCGGAAUCUUCACUUAAAUAUAAAAAAAAAAGUAAUAUCAGGUACAAUUCCAAUAAGAAACAAAAUCGUUUUCCAAUUUGUUUCCGCAAGGAAACAGCAAUUGAAUAAUUUUUUUGUUAUAAAUUUUUAACAAUUAUUGAUUUCGAUUCAAUUUUUGUGAGAAAAUUUCGGAUAGUACGAAGUUUUGAUCGUUAAUUCAAGGAUGGGAUUUACAAAAUCUUAAACUGGUAAUGAAAAAUUAAAACUAUCAAUUUGAAAGAUUGCCUCGCGUGAUUUUUUAAAAUGUUUUAAAUUAGUAAUUAUCGUAUGUUUUUGAUUAUUGUAGACUUGCACUGCUUUAACACAUGGUUAAAAUUUUGGAAAUUUGAGAAUUUUUCAUAUUAAUUGAAAUGAUUCCGGUAAUGACAUAAAAUUUUUAGCAUAUAUAAAAGUUAUUCAACUGUCAAUUAUGGUUGUUAAAUUUUUUUGAGUACCUACAAAAAUUCUUUGGUUCCUUAUUAACAAAUGUUUUAAACACUGUAUUGUUAAGUUUUUAACAUUUUAAAAUAAACACUUCCAAAAGCGAC